UAGACCCGAACCCCGGCGAUCUAGGCAUGACCAGGUUGAAGGUGCAGUAACAUGCACUGGAGGACCGAACCGUUUAAUGUUGAAAAAUUAUCGGAUGAGUUGUGUUUAGGGGUGAAAGGCCAAUCAAGCCGGGAAAUAGCUGGUUCUCCGCGAAAUCUAUUGAGGUAGAGCGUCGGAUGUAUGCCGUUGGGGGUAGAGCACUGGAUGGGCUAGGGGGUCGCGAGAUCUACCAAACCUAACCAAACUCCGAAUACCAACGAGUCUUAUCCGGCAGACAGACGGCGGGUGCUAAGGUCCGUCGUCAAAAGGGAAACAGCCCUAACCUACAGCUAAGGUCCCCAAGUCAUCACUAAGUGGGAAAGCAUGUGGGAUUUCCAAAACAACCAGGAGGUUGGCUUAGAAGCAGCCACCCUUUAAAGAGUGCGUAAUAGCUCACUGGUCAAGUGAUUCCGCGCCGACAAUGUAGCGGGGCUCAAGUCAUCCGCCGAAGCUAUGGCAUUCAGC
RNAcentral lists this ribosomal RNA (504 nucleotides) under Oxyrrhis marina. RNAcentral describes it as "partial Bacterial large subunit ribosomal RNA". It matches the Rfam family "Bacterial large subunit ribosomal RNA", at positions 710 to 1213 of the family's 2925-position model. The record is from RNAcentral. Lineage: Eukaryota; Dinophyceae; Oxyrrhinales; Oxyrrhinaceae.